RNAcentral lists this transfer RNA (85 nucleotides) under Escherichia coli. Its description in RNAcentral is "tRNA-Tyr". It matches the Rfam family "tRNA". Rfam says of the family: Transfer RNA (tRNA) molecules are approximately 80 nucleotides in length. Their secondary structure includes four short double-helical elements and three loops (D, anti-codon, and T loops). The record is from RNAcentral. RNAcentral also lists the same sequence under 7 other names. Lineage: Bacteria; Pseudomonadati; Pseudomonadota; Gammaproteobacteria; Enterobacterales; Enterobacteriaceae.
GGUGGGGUUCCCGAGCGGCCAAAGGGAGCAGACUGUAAAUCUGCCGUCAUCGACUUCGAAGGUUCGAAUCCUUCCCCCACCAUCA